Molecule: long non-coding RNA, 355 nt
Filed under: Carica papaya (papaya)
Lineage: Eukaryota; Viridiplantae; Streptophyta; Magnoliopsida; Brassicales; Caricaceae
Description: long non-coding RNA (CPAP_LNC014952)
Source: RNAcentral
AGCUUUAAUAAUAUAAAUCUUGAAAGAUCGCCAAAAGCAAAAGCAUAUACGUACAUAUGUGUGUGUGUGUGUGUAUAUGCAAUAAAGGCUAACAAGAGACCAGAGAAGCUCGUGUGAGUGGAGCCAUUUUGUUGUACUUUCAUGGCCCCAGAUCCUGUAUAUAAUUAAAAUAUACAUUCACAGCAAUCUUCUUUUCACAUUCCAACCAUUUUGUACUAUAUUUAUACGUAGUUAAUUGUUAUUUUAAUUUAUAUACUAACCAUGGCCUAACAUAACGGUAAAAAAAUAUAUAAUUACAUUGAUUAGAUAAUCGUACGUACUCAAAUAUAUUCUAAAAUAACACCACUACCAUUCG